CUUCCUGCACGUCGCCAGAUUGUUUCAUCACUAUACUAUUGCCGUAUGGACUGUGCAGCUUGGUGUUUGCUACUGCCCUGCCUGCCUGUGGAUUUUGCUUGCAAGCCGUCUGCUCUCCUGUGUUUCCCUGCCAAGUGAGUACACUUGAGAAGAUGGACCCCACCACGCCUCGCUGCACCACAACAUCUGCACUCUCAUCACUCCUGGUGAUUCUACAAGACCCUGGAACCUCGCACCACCCCUUACUCUUCUCAGUGGUUUCACAUUGCUGAACAUUAAAAGUCUUGUUAUUCACUGUCA
Acanthopagrus latus (yellowfin seabream) is the source of this 300-nucleotide long non-coding RNA. RefSeq lists it as uncharacterized. The record is from RefSeq and is a predicted model, not a curated record. The transcript has 2 exons. Lineage: Eukaryota; Metazoa; Chordata; Actinopteri; Spariformes; Sparidae.